This 254-nucleotide ribosomal RNA is filed under the name uncultured bacterium. Its description in RNAcentral is "partial 16S ribosomal RNA". It matches the Rfam family "Bacterial small subunit ribosomal RNA", at positions 524 to 776 of the family's 1533-position model. The record is from RNAcentral.
UACGUAGGGUGCGAGCGUUGUCCGGAAUUAUUGGGCGUAAAGAGCUCGUAGGUGGUUCGGUAAGUCGGAUGUGAAAUCUCCAGGCUCAACCUGGAGGGGUCAUUCGAUACUGCCGUGACUAGAGGUCGGUAGGGGAGUGUGGAAUUCCUGGUGGAGCGGUGAAAUGCGCAGAUAUCAGGAGGAACACCCGUAGCGAAGGCGGCACUCUGGGCCGAUACUGACACUGAGACGCGAAAGCGUGGGGAGCGAACAGG